Long non-coding RNA from Oncorhynchus tshawytscha (Chinook salmon), 1390 nucleotides. Lineage: Eukaryota; Metazoa; Chordata; Actinopteri; Salmoniformes; Salmonidae. The record is from Ensembl.
AUUUUUUAAUGGAUAUUGAUAGACUCACAAGUGUUCUUGGCUUGUGCCAAUGCUGUUCUGUGUCUGUGCAGCUGUGAACUGGUGGUGCAGCAGGAAUGUUUAGUUGAGAGUAGUGUGCUGUCUGGUAAAGAAGGGCCACCAGAUGAUUGCACAGAGCACUUCCUGCAACACAGGAGCAGUGGCUUUGGACCACUAUCACUGGUACGGAGUGCUUUAACACCAUCUGUGAAGAUACGUCUGAUGAAAGACUGAAGUGAGAAACAAGAAUGAUGCGGCCCAUAAAUAACAAUAAACAUAGUAGUGUCUAGUCUUCUUAACUAGGGGCUCUUAACUAUACAGGAAUACAUUGUGUCUCAGUAACACAAUUACCAAACACUGCAUCAACAGAUCUUUACCAAAUAACCUGUUAAGUGGGCAAUUCUAAAUUGGGAUUGGGACCCAUCACUGUCUCCAACACAUUUUGACCCCGAUGACAGUGUCUCACAGGAGAUGUUUAACAAGGUCCCUAGUAGCUGACCUUUCCCUACUCAUGCUGUGCGGCUUUUCACUCUUCCUCAUGGACCUGUGACAGGCAGCCCUCACGGUGAUCGCCCCUGUCAAUGUAUCUUUGUUAGAUACUGUGUAGAAGAGAUGAAUAACAAUUAUUUUUAGCUAGAAAAUAUAGCUAGCAAGCAUAACUUAACCAAGCUAACGAAAAUACACAUUCUCAGCAUAGAAUGAACCUGCCUCUCCUACACAAGUGAAUCAACGAGGAUGAACAAGCAGCACUUUUGGUAUUUUGUCUAACCUUAUGAUAAUAAAUUGGAUUACUAUGAAAGCUCAGGCUUUGUGGUCAUAUUGGUAAUUAAAUCAUCCUGCCUGGUCUAGCUGGUUUGUGACCUUACUACUUACAGGAAUACAUGAUCAUACAUAUUUCAGUUAUGGACUAUCAUAUAUUAAAUUGUUACAUAUUUUCCCCAAAAAAUUGGGAUUGUAAAAAUGUUACUUUGUCACCUUGAAAACAGGUUGAUAACUGCACAAUUCCCUUCCAUUCAUGAUCCCAUUUCUUAUGUAUGAUAGUUGUCAUGCCAUGUUACCAUAGGAGUUGGCUAAUAUAGCACAAACAGAUCAAAGAACAAGCUAACAUUUGGUUGAUUGUCAGAACAGAAAGAGUGAAACUUCAGUGUACUUGAGGACUACUCUAGAAAUGGUUUACUUUGUUACAGGAAAGAUAGAAAGGAGAAUAAGAUGUGGUUUGCUUGUUUGUCACCUGAAUGCGAGGGCAAGCGGUUGUGUUGGAUGUUACGGUUAUGAUAGUAAUGUAGGCUCUAACUUGCACUUUGUUAUCAGGUUUGAAUGAAAAUAUAUUUCCCUAACCUUAUUCUUUCAAUAAAGUUAUUUUUAAUUAAUA